This 924-nucleotide ribosomal RNA is filed under the name uncultured Parcubacteria group bacterium. RNAcentral's name for it is "bacterial SSU rRNA". It matches the Rfam family "Bacterial small subunit ribosomal RNA", at positions 8 to 934 of the family's 1533-position model. The record is from RNAcentral.
AGGGUUUGAUCAUGGCUCAGGAUGAACGCUGGCGGCAUGUCUAAGGCAUGCAAGUCGAACGGAUCUAUUUGAGAUCAUAUCAAUUGUAGAUUAGUGGCAGACGGGAGCGUAACACACUGAUAACCUACCCUGGAGCCGCGAAUAAUUCGCCGAAAGGUGGACUAAUACGCGAUACGGAUGCGGGGGCAUAAGCCAUUCGCAUUGAAAGCUUCGGCACUCCAGGAGGGGUCUAUGUCCUAUCAGCUUGUUGGCGAGGUAAUGGCUCACCAAGGCUAUGACGGGUACCAGGCGUGAGAGCGUGACCUGGCUCACUGGGACUGAGACACUGCCCAGACACCUACGGGUGGCUGCAGUCAAGAAUAUUCCACAAUGGGCGAAAGCCUGAUGGAGCAAUGCCGCGUGCCGGAAGAAGGCCUUCGGGUCGUAAACGGCUUUUUAUAGGGAAGAACAAAUGACGGUACCUAUAGAAUAAGAGGUUGCUAACUCUGUGCCAGCAGCAGCGGUAAUACAGAGACCUCAAGCGUUAUCCGGAUUUAUUGGGCGUAAAGGGUCCGCAGGUUGCAACGUAAGUCAUGUGUUAAAUUAUCGGGCUCAACCCGGAAACUGCACGUGAUACUGCGUAGCUAGAGGCUGGGAGAGGUGCAUGGAAUUGCUAGUGUAGCGGUAAAAUGCGUUAAUAUUAGCAAGAACACCAAAGGCGAAGGCAAUGCACUGGAACAGUCCUGACACUCAGGGACGAAAGCGUGGGGAGCGAAAGGGAUUAGAUACCCCUGUAGUCCACGCCCUAAACGAUGAAUGCUAGAUAUUGGGAGUAUCGACCCUCUCAGUGUCGUUGAACCAAGUUAACACGUUAAGCAUUCCGCCUGGGAAGUACGACCGCAAGGUUAAAACUCAAAGGAAUAGACGGGACCCGCACAAGCGGUG